AAUGAACCAUUCGAUUCAUUUCUACUUUUUCAACGUUUUCAACAAAGUGAGGGAGUGAGAGCAUGUUCCGACAAGGAACAGUGAGAUCUUACUGAGAGUGUCGAGAAACCAGAAAAUGGAAAAGGAAAGGGUUGGAUCCGCAUUCCAGUAAAACGACGUCGUGCUGCUGCGCAUCCAAAUCCUCUCUUCUUUUGUGCAAUGGCGGAAUCUGAAUCGCAAGGUCAUUCAUGGAUCUCCUAUGGAGUGUCGUUAUUGAUCGUUCUUCUAAUAGCGCUUCACGUCUUCGCCUUGGUCUAUUGGAUUUAUAGAUUGGCCACUGACAAUAGGUCGCAACAGCAGCAGCAGCAGCAACAACAAGAACAUCAGCAAGUGAGAAGAAAAGCUCACUGAUUGAAUUAAAAAAAAAGUUCCCAUUUAGUUUCGCUUUCUACAAACAAUUGUUGUGUGAAAUUAUGUGCAUUAGAGGAUAGGAUUUUUAUUUUUAAUUUUUUUGUAUAAGAGUGAUGAAUGAGGUUUCUAUUUAUUUUUAAAUUGAGUGUUAGUGAUAUAGUCAACAUUGCAUGCUUUCACAAGCUAGAGUGUGAUCUGUUGUGCCAAAAUUGAAUAAUCUCCGAGGAGUAGAGUCUUGCUGCAAUUUAGUUCAUCUUAUGCUCUUUGUAUUGUGUGCUGUGCUUCUUUGGAUAAAGUUUUUCAUAGAUACUUCAAGAACAAAAUAGCAACAAAAAACGAAAGAAGUUAUUCCAUGAGUUAAACUUAAUUUAUAUGUAAAGUAAUUUGUAAAAGUUCUCUUGUAUUAGUUUCUCUACAGCAUGAUUUUUCUUAACCUAUACUAGCUCUCUUAUUCAUAGAAGUGUUCAUGGUGAUGUUUAUUCAAACAUGCAUUAUGUUUAUUUCCGUGAUUCAAAA
This 906-nucleotide small RNA is filed under the name Vigna angularis var. angularis. Its description in RNAcentral is "Non-protein coding transcript". The record is from RNAcentral. Lineage: Eukaryota; Viridiplantae; Streptophyta; Magnoliopsida; Fabales; Fabaceae.